AGGGCACCACCAGGAGUGGGGCCUGCGGCUUAAUUUGACUCAACACGGGAAAUCUCACCAGGCCCGGACACUGGAAGGAUUGACAGAUUGAGAGCUCUUUCUCGAUUCGGUGGGUGGUGGUGCGUGGCCGUUCUUAGUUGGUGGAGUGAUUUGUCUGGUUAAUUCCGAUAACGAACGAGACUCUGUCCUGCUAAAUAGUUCCCGCGUCCUUUGUUGCGCGGGAAAUUCUUCUUAGAGGGACUGGCGGCGUCUAGCCGCACGAGAUUGAGCAAUAACAGGUCUGUGAUGCCCUUAGAUGUUCUGGGCCCCACGCGCGCUACACUGAAGGGAUCAGCGUGUCUUCCCUUCCCGAGAGGGACGGGUAACCCGCUGAACCCCCUUCGUGGUAGGGAUCGGGGCUUGCAAUUAUUCCCCGUGAACCAGGAAUUCCCAGUAAGCGCAAGUCAUAAGCUUGCGUUGAUUACGUCCCUGCCCUUUGUACACACCGCCCGUCGCUACUACCGAUUGAGUGAUUUAGUG
Molecule: ribosomal RNA, 519 nt
Filed under: uncultured eukaryote
Lineage: Eukaryota
Description: SSU rRNA
Rfam family: Eukaryotic small subunit ribosomal RNA
Source: RNAcentral